CCUACGGGUGGCUGCAGUGGGGAAUAUUGGACAAUGGGGGGAACCCUGAUCCAGCCAUGCCGCGUGUGUGAAGAAGGCCCUCGGGUUGUAAAGCACUUUCAGUGAGGAAGAACGCCUGGUGGUUAAUACCCAUCAGGAAAGACAUCACUCACAGAAGAAGCACCGGCUAACUCCGUGCCAGCAGCCGCGGUAAUACGGAGGGUGCGAGCGUUAAUCGGAAUUACUGGGCGUAAAGCGCGCGUAGGUGGCUUGAUAAGCCGGUUGUGAAAGCCCCGGACUCAACCUGGGAACGGCAUCCGGAACUGUCAAGCUAGAGUGCAGGAGAGGAAGGUAGAAUUCCCGGUGUAGCGGUGAAAUGCGUAGAGAUCGGGAGGAAUACCAGUGGCGAAGGCGGCCUUCUGGACUGACACUGACACUGAGGUGCGAAAGCGUGGGUAGCAAACAGGAUUAGAUACCCCAGUAGUC
RNAcentral lists this ribosomal RNA (465 nucleotides) under Vreelandella stevensii. RNAcentral describes it as "partial 16S ribosomal RNA". It matches the Rfam family "Bacterial small subunit ribosomal RNA", at positions 338 to 795 of the family's 1533-position model. The record is from RNAcentral. Lineage: Bacteria; Pseudomonadati; Pseudomonadota; Gammaproteobacteria; Oceanospirillales; Halomonadaceae.